This 399-nucleotide ribosomal RNA is filed under the name uncultured bacterium. RNAcentral describes it as "bacterial SSU rRNA". It matches the Rfam family "Bacterial small subunit ribosomal RNA", at positions 954 to 1357 of the family's 1533-position model. The record is from RNAcentral.
GCAUAACGCGAAGAACCUUACCCACCUUUGACAUGUAUGGAAUCCCGAAGAGAUUUGGGGGUGCUCGCAAGAGAGCCAUAACACAGGUGCUGCAUGGCUGUCGUCAGCUCGUGUCGUGAGAUGUUGGGUUAAGUCCCGCAACGAGCGCAACCCUUGUCAUUAGUUGCUACGAAAGGGCACUCUAAUGAGACUGCCGGUGACAAACCGGAGGAAGGUGGGGAUGACGUCAAGUCCUCAUGGCCCUUAUGGGUAGGGCUUCACACGUCAUACAAUGGUCGGGACAGAGGGUCGCCAACCCGCGAGGGGGAGCCAAUCCCAGAAACCCGAUCGUAGUCCGGAUCGCAGUCUGCAACUCGACUGCGUGAAGUCGGAAUCGCUAGUAAUCGCGGAUCAGCAUGG